RNAcentral lists this ribosomal RNA (460 nucleotides) under uncultured bacterium. RNAcentral describes it as "partial 16S ribosomal RNA". It matches the Rfam family "Bacterial small subunit ribosomal RNA", at positions 338 to 795 of the family's 1533-position model. The record is from RNAcentral.
CCUACGGGAGGCAGCAGUGAGGAAUAUUGGUCAAUGGACGAGAGUCUGAACCAGCCAAGUAGCGUGAAGGAUGACUGCCCUAUGGGUUGUAAACUUCUUUUAUAUGGGAAUAAAAUGUUCCACGUGUGGGAUUUUGUAUGUACCAUAUGAAUAAGGAUCGGCUAACUCCGUGCCAGCAGCCGCGGUAAUACGGAGGAUCCGAGCGUUAUCCGGAUUUAUUGGGUUUAAAGGGUGCGUAGGUGGAUUGUUAAGUCAGUUGUGAAAGUUUGGGGGUCAACCGUAAAAUUGCAGUUGAAACUGGCAGUCUAGAGUACAGUAGAGGUGGGCGGAAUUCGUGGUGUAGCGGUGAAAUGCUUAGAUAUCACGAAGAACUCCGAUUGCGAAGGCAGCUCACUGGACUGCAACUGACACUGAGGCUCGAAAGUGUGGGUAUCAAACAGGAUUAGAUACCCGGGUAGUC